AUUGAACGCUGGCGGCAGGCCUAACACAUGCAAGUCGAGCGGAUGAAGGGAGCUUGCUCCUGGAUUCAGCGGCGGACGGGUGAGUAAUGCCUAGGAAUCUGCCUGGUAGUGGGGGAUAACGUCCGGAAACGGGCGCUAAUACCGCAUACGUCCUGAGGGAGAAAGUGGGGGAUCUUCGGACCUCACGCUAUCAGAUGAGCCUAGGUCGGAUUUGCUAGUUGGUGGGGUAAAGGCCUACCAAGGCGACGAUCCGUAACUGGUCUGAGAGGAUGAUCAGUCACACUGGAACUGAGACACGGUCCAGACUCCUACGGGAGGCAGCAGUGGGGAAUAUUGGACAAAGGGCGAAAGCCUGAUCCAGCCAUGCCGCGUGUGUGAAGAAGGUCUUCGGAUUGUAAAGCACUUUAAGUUGGGAGGAAGGGCAGUAAGUUAAUACCUUGCUGUUUUGACGUUACCAACAGAAUAAGCACCGGCUAACUUCGUG
RNAcentral lists this ribosomal RNA (484 nucleotides) under uncultured bacterium. RNAcentral describes it as "partial 16S ribosomal RNA". It matches the Rfam family "Bacterial small subunit ribosomal RNA", at positions 30 to 507 of the family's 1533-position model. The record is from RNAcentral.